UUGCAUGUUUUUUAAGGUGGGAGAGGAAAAGUUUUUAAUCAAGAAAGUUCAGCUUCUUUCAGGUUAAAAACUUUGGGAAAUGUGUUUUCUAACGUUCAAUUAUUUGUGAAAUAUUAAGAAAGAGAGAAAGGCGGAUUCGGAUUUUAAAUUAAAACACAAUUAAACCAUGGUGAAAAUUCUGACCCCUGUGGAACCCCAGAUGUUAUUGGUUUAGCAGAGGAUAAAGAGUCGUGAUAUUACAUAAAUAAUCGUUAAACCAAGCAAGUUCUGUUCUCCGUAUCUAAAAACACAUCAGUUUAGCCAGAAGUAGACUUAUAGAAUCAGAGACUUUUCUCGCCUAUGGUUAAUUUAAAACGAAAAAGACCGAAUGAAUAAUCUUCUUAAGGGAGAAUUUAUAGUAUACAAUCGUUAGCCCGUGGAAAAAUCCACGGAUUCGCCCGUCCUUUUUAUACCGCAUCACGUGCGUCUCGCUACUUGCGCAGCUAAGCUAUCACUUUGCGUGACAGACACACAGACAGACGUAUACGGGUAUUAUAAUAUAGAUUUAUUACUCGGGUAAAAGGGCGGCAUCAAUAUUUCUGAAUAUUGUGCAAUGUGAUUGGUUUGAACUCAUGUCACAGCGGCCAAUAUUCCACGGUAUUGCCCGCUACCAUAGCAACCUUGUUUAAAGUUUAAAUAUGGUAGCUUUAAGUGUAAAUAAACACGGAAAAAAGUAAGCAAAACGCAAAAAUUGAAAGUUACUUUUGUGUUUUUAAGAGUUCAUGUUGCAGUUACAAUAAAAUCGUGUGAUGUUUACACGAUAUUUGGUUUAAAAAAAUUUAUAUUAGUUAGUUCGAAUGUACGUUCCAUAUGGAAAUAGUUAUGGGAUUUCUAUAAAAACAUGGUUUCUACGUCCUGCUUAUAAUGUUAUAUUAUUGGUCGUAAAAUGCAGUACCCGGAUAAUAACCCGGGUACUGCAUUUCGAACCUUCGAAUAUUGGCCUCCGUCACGUAUUACCCUCACAAGCUUGGGCAAUACUUUGACGUCGGUCAAUAUUCUCCGGUAUUGCCCUCAUAAACAGUUAUUAUAGGGUUAGUAUUAAAUGCUGCUAGCGUCCCUAUUCCAUCUCUUCUCAUAUGUAGAAAAAGAGAAGGAAGUUCGUAAUAAUGUUUUUAAUUUUAUUUUCUCCAACACAUAAUUUUAUCACCGGUUUUAGUUUAUUAUUUAGAUUUUCAAUGUGAGUCAAUGAGAGAACAAAUUUGUUUGUAUAUAAUUUACUGUCUCUAUAAUAAUAGCCGUCGUCUGUCUGUCUGUUCAAAAGGGUUACCGAUAUUCCUUUGAUCUUUCCGCGAAUUUUUAGAAAACAGGGGGUUGUUUAAUGGAAAACUUUAUAAUUAAUUGAACUAAACUCAAGAAAUUAAUUUAUUACCUUAUUUAAUUUAAUUACUUUAAGUUAUGAACCUUGAUGAAAAAAAUAAAUUAAGAGAUAAAAAUGAAUGAAUUACUUUAAUACGCCAUUUUUAAUAAUAGUUACCCCCGUGACCUCAAUCGCCGUUUAUCGCAUGUUUUAACCCUCACCGGAUAAAUAUUUACAUAAAUUAUCCUGUUCCUCCCUGCACUUGUGCCUCGAUUUAAUUACCCAAUCAACAGUCUUGAUUAUAUGUAUAAGCCAAUCAAUAAGCAUUGCAUUUUCCGCGGCAAUUGUUACACUUUUACUGCCCGGAUAAGAAAAUAGAAAAUACGAUGUAGCAACGAAGUUAUGGCAAGAUAAGACAAGAAAUUUUCCUGAAUAAUUCUUUGGAAAGUAUCUCAUUAAUUAUUUGCCGUUUUUACCCUUCCUAAUUUCUACUUUUGAAAUUAAUUUCUAUUUCUACUUGUGAGAAUACAAUUAGCUAGCUAGCUAGCUACAUCUUUGGUGUUUGCUUAAUUUUAGUUUGUUGUUUAUUAGCUGCGUCAAUUUUUAUUCUUUAGCUAGCUACGUACCUAUAGCUGUGGGCUACAUAUAGCCUCUUUCAUCACCUUAAACUUUUGCAUAUAAUUUUUUGUAAUGUUGUUAUUUUUUUCUUUUUUUUUCAAUUUUUUUGGAGGUUUUUUUUUUCCAUUGAAAACCGUCUUUAUCUUUCCCACCAUUUUUUUGCCAAAAUUGAAAGGACCGGUUGGAAACCGGCCCUUUAUGUACAUUUCGGUACUCCUUGUACCGAGCAUAGGUUGGAAACCGGCCCUUUAUGUACAUUUCGGUACUCCUUGUACCGAGCAUAGGUUAGUUCCUAAAAAUAAAAUGGUGUGACAGUAAGAAUAAACUGUAAGAUAGAUUAAAAUCUUGCAUUUGGAGAUUUAAAGAUCUUUGAUGGAUGGUUACAAUGGAUUACUUACAUCUGUACAACCACCUUCAACCACCUUCUCUACAACAUGUUCCUCUUCAUUUACACGUCCCUCCUGGACCACGGCUUCUUUGACACUUUUGUCCACCACAAUACCCUCUUUUAUGUGUUCCGCCAUUAUAAUUUUGUAUUGUUUGACUAAAAGGAAAAAAAUAGAGGGUGAGUAGUGAUCAUGUUUUUCAAUACAGCAGUAGUACAGCAAAGACAUGGUUUUGUACCCCCGUUUUUGUCUUCAUUUUUUGCAAGUACACAAAAUUGUUGUAUUUUUAAGUGAAAUAAAAAAGUAGAAAACAUGUUUUAAGCCACGGAAUUAUGCACCCCACCCUAUAAAACACUCAGCUAAUUAAACACAUUCAAAAAAAUGGAAACACAGUAAUGAGAAAUAACAACAUGGUGAAGUAGGGAGUAGAACUGUUUUUUUAAGUGACAAUUAAUUUGAACAGGACAAUUAAUUUGAACAGAUUACUGAACAUGGCAAACAUACCUUCAAAGAGGUACUCAGUAAUUUGCCUGAAACGCAACACACAUACCUAUCAAGAGGUACACAAUAACUUGUUGCAGUACAGCCCACAUACCUUUCAAGAGGUAAACAGUAACUUGCUGUCAAUCAUUGUAUCAGUAAUAGAAAAUUAAAAUAUUUACAACACUUGUGGAAAAACAACAUUCUUUGUGAAACAUCUAUUCCCUACAUAACCUUGUUGAUAAGUACUGACAACCUUUACCUUUACUGCAGCAAAUGACCGUGCUCGUGAAAAAGCAACAUACAAUUGUCCAUGGCUAAAGCAAGGUCUACGCAAGUAUAUACCAACUUUCUCUUUUGGCCUUGACUCUUAUUUAUAGUCAAUGCGUAAGACAAUCUUAAAGGAAACUGGGUGCGUUUAAUUUAAAAGGGUAGAUUUGUAUCAUUUGGACAGAGGAACACUCUCGGAAUUAACACAGGAUCACCUCUACGGAUAUCGGUAAGAAUUUCACAAUCGAUAACAUUUGCACGCAGAUUCCGAACCAUUAACCUUGUACCAUUACAAAGACCGUCUUUAAGGGACAGAUUUCUUAACAACAUUACAACACAUCCAACUUUGACAUUUAAUUGGUGUGGUGGCAUACCACUUGGAGUUAAGGAAUUAAUAAACUCCAUGGGAUAUAAAUCAAUUUCUUCUUGAUCAUCCGAAACAACAGAGAGAGGUAGGAAGCAGUUAAUACGAACACUAUAAAAUGUUCGGGGGACCAGCAAGCCUGAACCUGUUAUAUUUUUAUAUUACCAUCAUUUUAAUUAUUUCCUUUUUUCUAGAAAGCUUAAAAACUGAGUUAAUAAAUGAAAUUUUAUCUUGGAAACUUUAUUCCUGAUUUAGUUCAAGAAGUUAAAAAGGUGCAGAGCUCUCUUCGAAAUAAUGCAGGAUGACGUAAAAAAUCUUCAAAGAAUGGUUAAAAUAUUAAGUAUGCGGACCAAGUGAGACAUUAAUGGCAUAGAAUUCUUAUAUUCAAUGCAAUAUAUUGUUAACUAUUUGACUUCAUUUAAACUACGUCUUUUUUUAAAAAGCAUCCAGUACUACGAAUUCCCUUCUCAUUUUGUAGCGAAUUCUUUUUUCUUUCUUUUUAUGAAGUACUUAUCACAUGUAGUUACACAAAUGUCUAAACCCGACCAUUUCACAUCAUAAACAUUUAAGUCGUAAAAAGCUGUUGUAUUAUGAACUUACACAGUACCACAUUAUAUAUCAGAUUCACAUGUAUCAUAAUUACCCAGGACACAAAAUGUA
Long non-coding RNA from Hydractinia symbiolongicarpus, 4114 nucleotides. RefSeq lists it as uncharacterized. The transcript is spliced from 3 exons. The record is from RefSeq and is a predicted model, not a curated record. NCBI's taxonomy places the organism in Eukaryota, Metazoa, Cnidaria, Hydrozoa, Anthoathecata, Hydractiniidae.